GACGAACCGUGCGAACGUUGUUCGGAAUCACUGGGCGUAAAGGGUGCGUAGGUGGUUUGUUAAGUCUGCUGUGAAAUCCCCGGGCUCAACCUGGGAAUGGCAGUGGAUACUGGCAAGCUAGAGUGCGGUAGAGGGUAGUGGAAUUCCCGGUGUAGCGGUGAAAUGCGUAGAGAUCGGGAGGAACACCUGUGGCGAAAGCGGCUCACUGGACCACAACUGACGCUGAGGCGCGAAAGCUAGGGGAGCAAACAGG
Molecule: ribosomal RNA, 253 nt
Filed under: uncultured bacterium
Lineage: Bacteria
Description: partial 16S ribosomal RNA
Rfam family: Bacterial small subunit ribosomal RNA
Source: RNAcentral